GAUGAACGCUAGCGGCAGGCUUAAUACAUGCAAGUCGAGGGGCAGCAGGUUUGUAGCAAUACAGAUGCUGGCGACCGGCAAACGGGUGCGGAACACGUACACAACCUUCCUUUAAGUGGGGAAUAGCCCAGAGAAAUUUGGAUUAAUACCCCGUAACAUUAUGAUGUGGCAUCACAUUAUAAUUAUAGCUCCGGCGCUUAAUGAUGGGUGUGCGGCUGANAGGUAGUUGGCGGGGUAACGGCCCACCAAGCCUUCGAUCAGUAACUGGUGUGAGAGCACGACCAGUCACACGGGCACUGAGACACGGGCCCGACUCCUACGGGAGGCAGCAGUAAGGAUAUUGGGCAAUGGAGCAACUCUGACCCAGCCAUGCCGCGUGGAGGAU
Molecule: ribosomal RNA, 385 nt
Filed under: uncultured bacterium
Lineage: Bacteria
Description: bacterial SSU rRNA
Rfam family: Bacterial small subunit ribosomal RNA
Source: RNAcentral